RNAcentral lists this ribosomal RNA (557 nucleotides) under uncultured bacterium. Its description in RNAcentral is "bacterial SSU rRNA". It matches the Rfam family "Bacterial small subunit ribosomal RNA", at positions 102 to 694 of the family's 1533-position model. The record is from RNAcentral.
ACGGGUGAGUAACGCGUGGGGACAUACCCUUUUCUACGGAAUAGCUCUGGGAAACUGGAAUUAAUACCGUAUACGCCCUACGGGGGAAAGAUUUAUCGGGGAAGGAUUGGCCCGCGUUGGAUUAGCUAGUUGGUGGGGUAAAGGCCUACCAAGGCGACGAUCCAUAGCUGGUCUGAGAGGAUGAUCAGCCACAUUGGGACUGAGACACGGCCCAAACUCCUACGGGAGGCAGCAGUGGGGAAUAUUGGACAAUGGGCGCAAGCCUGAUCCAGCCAUGCCGCGUGAGUGAUGAAGGCCUUAGGGUUGUAAAGCUCUUUCACCGAUGAAGAUAAUGACGGUAGUCGGAGAAGAAGCCCCGGCUAACUUCGUGCCAGCAGCCGCGGUAAUACGAAGGGGGCUAGCGUUGUUCGGAAUUACUGGGCGUAAAGCGCACGUAGGCGGAUAUUUAAGUCAGGGGUGAAAUCCCAGAGCUCAACUCUGGAACUGCCUUUGAUACUGGGUAUCUUGAGUAUGGAAGAGGUAAGUGGAAUUGCGAGUGUAGAGGUGAAAUUCGUAGA